This 253-nucleotide ribosomal RNA is filed under the name uncultured bacterium. RNAcentral describes it as "partial 16S ribosomal RNA". It matches the Rfam family "Bacterial small subunit ribosomal RNA", at positions 524 to 776 of the family's 1533-position model. The record is from RNAcentral.
UACGGAGGGUGUAAGCGUUAUCCGGAUUCACUGGGUUUAAAGGGUGCGUAGGCGGGCAGGUAAGUCAGUGGUGAAAUCUCCGGGCUUAACCCGGAAACUGCCGUUGAUACUAUCUGUCUUGAAUAUCGUGGAGGUAAGCGGAAUAUGUCAUGUAGCGGUGAAAUGCUUAGAUAUGACAUAGAACACCCAUUGCGAAGGCAGCUUACUACACGAUCAUUGACGCUGAGGCACGAAAGCGUGGGGAGCAAACAGG